GCCAAAGUAGCUCAGUUGGUAGAGCACAGCUUUCGUAAAGCUGGGGUCGUGAGUUCGAUCCUCACCUUUGGCU
RNAcentral lists this transfer RNA (73 nucleotides) under Patescibacteria group bacterium. Its description in RNAcentral is "tRNA-Thr". It matches the Rfam family "tRNA". Rfam says of the family: Transfer RNA (tRNA) molecules are approximately 80 nucleotides in length. Their secondary structure includes four short double-helical elements and three loops (D, anti-codon, and T loops). Further hydrogen bonds mediate the characteristic L-shaped molecular structure. tRNAs have two regions of fundamental functional importance: the anti-codon, which is responsible for specific mRNA codon recognition, and the 3' end, to which the tRNAs corresponding amino acid is attached (by aminoacyl-tRNA synthetases). tRNAs cope with the degeneracy of the genetic code in two manners: having more than one tRNA (with a specific anti-codon) for a particular amino acid; and 'wobble' base-pairing, i.e. permitting non-standard base-pairing at the 3rd anti-codon position. The record is from RNAcentral. RNAcentral also lists the same sequence under 2 other names.